RNAcentral lists this long non-coding RNA (530 nucleotides) under Setaria viridis. RNAcentral's name for it is "long non-coding RNA (SVIR_LNC004366)". The record is from RNAcentral. Lineage: Eukaryota; Viridiplantae; Streptophyta; Magnoliopsida; Poales; Poaceae.
GACAAAAGAUAAAAGUUGAGGGAAUUUACAUCGAAGGACUCCCAAAUCCUAAGUCCUACAUGUCUGUCCAGAAGCAUACUGUUGUUGCUUGGUUGGCAUCACGAAACAGCUCUUAAUAGACUGAUCUGGGCAUGGCAUGCACUAAUCAUCAACAAGAGCUUCAGAUUCACUGACCCAUAAUUGACCGCCACAGACCAUGAGAGCUGCAUAUUAGUAAAAUUAGCAUUAAUGUCCGUGCAUUGCUACUUGUCUUUACCUACUCUAAGAUCAUUGCGCUGGUGAGCUGCCUCUGCCUCUAGAGAGAAAAGAUGCUUUCUAGGGUUUGUCUUCCUCACCUCCAUGACCAUUAUUUAUUGUGAACCCGUUGGCAACGGGCGAAGACAUCCUCGGAGCAACAAAAUUCUUAUACAUACACUGAAUUGUCUCAUCAACACCCCCAAGUUUCUAUAGUCUCAAACACUCGCAUACUGCUCCGUCCUAGCUUGAUGCCAUGCCAUGUACUCGAUCCAUUGAUACCAACACAUCCACAC